This 2592-nucleotide ribosomal RNA is filed under the name Chaetothyriales sp. MP-2014. Its description in RNAcentral is "eukaryotic LSU rRNA". The stretch from base 1227 to 2592 matches the Rfam family "Eukaryotic large subunit ribosomal RNA", at positions 1 to 1111 of the family's 3401-position model. Lineage: Eukaryota; Fungi; Ascomycota; Eurotiomycetes; Chaetothyriales. The record is from RNAcentral.
AUGGCUCAGUGAGGCCUUGGGAUUGGCCAGGGGAGAUGGGCAACCAUCACCCCAGGCCGAAAACUUGGUCAAACUUGGUCAUUUAGAGGAAGUAAAAGUCGUAACAAGGUUUCUGUAGGCGCUUGCGUCUCGGAAUAAGUUAAUGCAUCCUUCUGCAGUGACACUUAUUGGAAGCCUUAAAUAACCGCCAGAAAUGGUACGGUUCCCGCGACUCUAAAGAAGCAGGAUCCUAAGGGUUAGUGGUACUGCGUUGACUUAAUUUAUUUAAGCACGCGGUGCUGCGACACUAUCAAAUUGCGGGAAGUCCCUUAGAGCCGGCAGUACCGCUCCCUCGUCGAAAUGACGGGGCAGCACCAGGUUAAUGACCUCGGGUAUGGUAACAAUCUCGCCGGAUUGGGUUACCUGCAGCCAAGUCCUCCGCAGGGGGGCGGUCGUUCACGGGCGGCCGUCUUUCGCGGUAGGAUGCAGUUCACAGGCCAAAUGGUAGUGGGUGGUCCCCUCUUGCAAGGGCGAUUGCUUAAGAUAUGGUCGGGCCCCCAGGGAAAUCCUGGGGGGUGAGUUCACAAAAGAAUUGAUAGACCCUAUAUGAGGGGACCCAAUCAAGUAACAAGAACAAAAAACGUUCCGUAGGUGAACCUGCGGAAGGAUCAUUACCGAGUUAGGGUUCUCUCCCGAGGCCCGACCUCCCAACCCUGUGUCUAACAAACCUGUAUGUGUUGCUUCGGUGGACCGGCAGUCCCCUCACGGGGGUCCGUCGCCGGGGGAGACAACGGCCUCACGGCCCGCCCCUGGAGAGUGUCCGCCGAUGGCCCCAUUAACAAACCUUCCCAAACCCAAAAUCUUGUACCUAAAACUUCUGAAUCAGACAUUUUGAUGUACCAAUCAAAAAAAACAAAACUUUCAACAACGGAUCUCUUGGUUCUGGCAUCGAUGAAGAACGCAGCGAAAUGCGAUAAGUAAUGCGAAUUGCAGAAUUUCCGUGAGUCAUCGAAUCUUUGAACGCACAUUGCGCCCUUUGGCAUUCCGAAGGGCAUGCCUGUUCGAGCGUCAUUAUCCUCUCUCAAACCUCGGGUUUGGUGUUGGACCGCGUUGGACCUCCCCAUGGCCAACUGGUCUCAAAGACAAUGACGGCGUCCCCGGGACCCUCUUCGCACUGAGCUUUCUGAAAGCACGCGUCGAGUUUCACGGGCCCAGGGACCCGGUCACCCCUAAAACUUCUUUAAGGUUGACCUCGGAUCAGGUAGGAAUACCCGCUGAACUUAAGCAUAUCAAUAAGCGGAGGAAAAGAAACCAACAGGGAUUGCCUCAGUAACGGCGAGUGAAGCGGCAACAGCUCAAAUUUGAAAUCUGGCCUCACGGUCCGAGUUGUAAUUUGUAGAGGAUGUUUUGGGCACCGCCCCGGGUUAAAUUUCUUGGAACAGAAUGUCAAAGAGGGUGAGAGUCCCGUCUUGGCCCGCGGUAGGACCUAUGUAAAACUCCUUCGACGAGUCGACUUGUUUGGGAAUGCAGGUCAAAAUGGGUGGUAAAUUUCAUCUAAAGCUAAAUAUUGGCCAGAGACCGAUAGCGCACAAGUAGAGUGAUCGAAAGAUGAAAAGCACUUUGAAAAGAGAGUUAAACAGUAUGUGAAAUUGUUGAAAGGGAAGCGCUGGCAACCAGACUCGAGCGCGGUGUUCCCCCUUGCUUCUGCCUGGGUUAUUUCACCGUGACCGGGCCAUCAUCAGUUUUGGGGGUUGGUUAAAGAUUCGGGGAAUGUAUCCUCUCUUUCGGGGGAGGACUUAUAGCCCCGGAUGUCAUGCAGCCUCCCGGGACUGAGGAACGCGCUUCGGCGAGGAUGAUGGCGUAAUGGUUGUCAGCGACCCGUCUUGAAACACGGACCAAGGAGUCUAACAUCUAUGCGAGUGUUCGGGUGUCAAACCCUUGCGCGGAAUGAAAGUGAACGGAGGUAGGAAGGCUUGAGCCUGCACUAUCGACCGAUCCUGAUGUCUUCGGAUGGAUUUGAGUAAGAGCAUAGCUGUUGGGACCCGAAAGAUGGUGAACUAUGCGUGAAUAGGGUGAAGCCAGAGGAAACUCUGGUGGAGGCUCGCAGCGGUUCUGACGUGCAAAUCGAUCGUCAAAUUUGCGUAUAGGGGCGAAAGACUAAUCGAACCAUUGGUAAUCACUACUAGGUGGUUAAGAGUCGUGUGUGAAAAGCACCGGCUAGUCGCGAGUCCGCGGCAAGGUCGUCAAAUUGCGGGAACACCCUAAAGCCUGAGGUACCGCCGACCGUCCCGAAAGGGUGGUGAGGCACCACGGAGAGAUUUCGUGGGUACGGUAACAAUCCAAGGGAUGGCCUAGGUAAAACCCUAGGCCGCUGUAAUGGGCAAUCCGCAGCCAAGCCUGUCUCUCCCUUCUGGGGGAGGGAUUGGGUGCAGUUCAUCGACUAGAUGUCGACCGGGUUCGGGGCACCAUCCAUGCCUCGAGCCUCAAGAUAUAGUCAGGCCCUCGGGGAGACCCGAGCGGAGGAACAAAGUAAAGGGGGUCGGACUCUUACUCACAGAGAAGCCCGCUUUACCCGAAUUCCUUCCCGGCCGGUCUCGUCAGACCGGUGAUCAA